UCUUCCAUGGAUUUUAGUUUCAAACAUGCCUCUUUUUUUUGAGUUAAUGAAAUUGACUGACUUUUUUUAUAUAUAUUUUGAAGGUCAGGUGUGAUAUUUUCAAAAAAAUAAAAAAUAAAUACCAAACCUCUUUUUUUUGAAAGAAGAUGAAUUUUUUUUAUUUUUUUAAUUCUUGCAUAUAUUUCAGUUUUGAAAAGACUUUUCUUCAAAAGGCACACACUACUU
Molecule: long non-coding RNA, 225 nt
Filed under: Phoenix dactylifera (date palm)
Lineage: Eukaryota; Viridiplantae; Streptophyta; Magnoliopsida; Arecales; Arecaceae
Description: long non-coding RNA (PDAC_LNC002426)
Source: RNAcentral